RNAcentral lists this ribosomal RNA (388 nucleotides) under uncultured bacterium. Its description in RNAcentral is "bacterial SSU rRNA". It matches the Rfam family "Bacterial small subunit ribosomal RNA", at positions 420 to 806 of the family's 1533-position model. The record is from RNAcentral.
GGAUUGUAAACUUCUUUUAUAUGGGAAUAAAGUGCACCACGUGUGGUGUUUUGUAUGUACCAUAUGAAUAAGGAUCGGCUAACUCCGUGCCAGCAGCCGCGGUAAUACGGAGGAUCCGAGCGUUAUCCGGAUUUAUUGGGUUUAAAGGGAGCGUAGGCGGAUUGUUAAGUCAGUUGUGAAAGUUUGCGGCUCCACCGUAAAAUUGCAGUUGAUACUGGCAGUCUUGAGUGCAGUAGAGGUAAGCGGAAUUCGUGGUGUAGCGGUGAAAUGCUUAGAUAUCACGAAGAACUCCAAUUGCGAAGGCAGCUUGCUGGACUGUAACUGACGCUGAUGCUCGAGAGUGUGGGUAUCAAACAGGAUUAGAUACCCUGGUAGUCCACACAGUAAA